Molecule: long non-coding RNA, 676 nt
Organism: Cynoglossus semilaevis (tongue sole)
Lineage: Eukaryota; Metazoa; Chordata; Actinopteri; Pleuronectiformes; Cynoglossidae
Exons: 2
Source: RefSeq, a predicted model, not a curated record
GAUUUUUUUAAAUAUUCAUUUAAAAUACUUUUGGGAGUUUUAAACAUAAAAUAAUCACUUGGCAGCAUGUUUUAGGACCUAAUAUGAACGUCAGCGGUCAACUGCAAGAGAGCGCUGAUAUUGGAACCUUUGUAUAACGGAAGCAGGAAAUCGUAGUACGGUCCUUAUUUCCGGUUGCGGAUCCGGCGCAUGGGACGCUUGUGUUAGUCGUGUUGGCUUCCAGCGGGCGUUCAAGUAAGAAAAUUGGCAUGGUGGCUACAUCUGAUUGAUUUAAAUGGUCUGCCAUCAGAAAACGCUGGUUCGAUUUCAGCGGCAACACCAUGUUUUCCACGGAUUUAAUACCGGAAGAAGAAACGAGACUGAAGAUAGUAUGCAGCUUCCUGAUUACUGCUAAAGAAAUAGUUUACACACUGUAUUAUAGAAAUUAAAUACUGAAGGAAAUAGUGAACCUGCAGAUUAGAAGAACACGUCGUUGUGCCACGUUAGCACAAACAAACGGGUUUUCCUUAAAAGCAGCUACAAAGUAGUCACUCUUACAGUGCAAAGUCUGUUGCACAACUAAAUGUUUACACAUCACUAUCAUCAGUAACAGUACAAACUCAAUGUUUUAAACAUUUCAUCACUACAUAAAGGCCUUUGUUUGUCAGAACAGCUCAGGGGUCAAGCACAAUUGAAA